RNAcentral lists this ribosomal RNA (510 nucleotides) under uncultured bacterium. RNAcentral describes it as "partial 16S ribosomal RNA". It matches the Rfam family "Bacterial small subunit ribosomal RNA", at positions 28 to 507 of the family's 1533-position model. The record is from RNAcentral.
GACGAACGCUGGCGGCGUGCUUAACACAUGCAAGUCGAACGAAGAGCGACGGAAGCUUGCUUCUAUCAAUCUUAGUGGCGAACGGGUGAGUAACGCGUAAUCAACCUGCCCUUCAGAGGGGGACAACAGUUGGAAACGACUGCUAAUACCGCAUACGAUCUAACCUCGGCAUCGAGGAUAGAUGAAGGGUGGCCUCUACAUGUAAGCUAUCACUGAAGGAGGGGAUUGCGUCUGAUUAGCUAGUUGGAGGGGUAACGGCCCACCAAGGCGAUGAUCAGUAGCCGGUCUGAGAGGAUGAACGGCCACAUUGGGACUGAGACACGGCCCAGACUCCUACGGGAGGCAGCAGUGGGGAAGCUUCCGCAAUGGACGAAAGUCUGACGGAGCAACGCCGCGUGAGUGAUGACGGCCUUCGGGUUGUAAAGCUCUGUUAAUCGGGACGAAAGGCCUUCUUGCGAAUAGUGAGAAGGAUUGACGGUACCGGAAUAGAAAGCCACGGCUAACUACGUG